This 102-nucleotide small nucleolar RNA is filed under the name Heterocephalus glaber (naked mole-rat). Its description in RNAcentral is "Small nucleolar RNA U13 (ENSHGLG00000047877.1)". It matches the Rfam family "Small nucleolar RNA U13". The record is from RNAcentral. Lineage: Eukaryota; Metazoa; Chordata; Mammalia; Rodentia; Bathyergidae.
AUCCUUCUGUGGUCCAUAAGCAUGAUGAUGGGGUUUUUCGUAUUAUCAUGAGAUGUGCUUCCCUCCAAACUAUUACACUGCCUGCACAUCACCCAUCUGACU